Rhagoletis zephyria (snowberry fruit fly) is the source of this 216-nucleotide long non-coding RNA. RefSeq lists it as uncharacterized. The record is from RefSeq and is a predicted model, not a curated record. Lineage: Eukaryota; Metazoa; Arthropoda; Insecta; Diptera; Tephritidae.
UCGCUGCACUUUUGAAAAUUCCGGGUACGGUUUAGUAAGUGGCCCACCUAUUUCGGGGUAUUGCGUCCAAAGGGGUGACCCGAUCCAAAAAAAAAUUGCACACACUUGUAGCCAAGGGUCUACCCAUUACUUUAACAGCCACUAUUGUAAUUUUUGGUCACUAAUUUAUUUACAAAUUGGGUUUGAAAUAUGCCCUUUUUUGUAAAAUUCGGAAAA